GCCAGCAGCUAGCUCUCUGCAACUCUCACAUGGUCACCCACUGAAACUAAGCAGGGCUGCGCCCGGUCAGUACCUGGAUGGGGGAAAUCGCAUGGGAAAGCUAGGUUGCUGCCGGAA
RNAcentral lists this ribosomal RNA (117 nucleotides) under Danio rerio (zebrafish). Lineage: Eukaryota; Metazoa; Chordata; Actinopteri; Cypriniformes; Danionidae. The record is from RNAcentral.